UAUUUUGCAAUUAAGAUGGAAAUUUGGCUAUAUUGGGAAAAGCCUCUGGGAUGUGGCCGCCGGACCAAUAGUACAGACACGGUACCCCGGAGAGAGUCCCAGAACGCGAAUUGUUUCACCUUAGAUCCAAACUCCACCUCCAAACAACCCUUCUCUCUCUCUCUCUCUCUCCUCCGUUCGCGGCGGCGGUGGUGUCUCCGGUGGAUGGCAAGCAGAGCCAACAAAUACGCCUCCCUCAAUUUCAACGACAUCUACGAGAAGAAGAUCAUCAAUCCCACCAACAACAAACAACACCAUUCCUCUUCUUCCCAAUCAUCUCCUCUCACCACUUCCACCAAAACCAUCCUCUCCAAUUCUCGCAUCCAUGGCAACAUGCUCGUCCUGACCCGCCCUUCCCCCAAACCCAUUCCCCAACCCCAACCUCAAUCCCCACCCCACCCCCCUGCAAUUCCGGAUCAACCCCGAUUCCUCCCGGACUCCAUCUCUCUCCGCCCUCUGGGUCGAACCGGGUCUGGCCCAUCUUUGUCUCUCCUUCCUUUGACGUUGCCCAUGCCAAACAAGGACUUCUCUCCAUCUUCAUCUCUAUCUCCAUCGCCUUCGCCGAAGCCGAACCGGUUCAUUCCACCUCAUCUUCGGCCGGGAUUCGUCGGCAGGGAGGAGAAGCCCGGGCCGGAGCUCCAGAAGCAGCAGGGAGUCCGAUCCAGGGAGUUCGGGGGUCACUUCGGGUCGCCGAAUAAGCACGGGGAAGAAGGGCGACCCAAGUCUGGAGGUGGGUAUGAGAGGAUGCGCCGAGUUGGCGAUUCAGGCCCGGUGGAGAUGAAUCGGCCUCGUUCAAGUGGGACUCGCCCGAGUUCAAGUGGAUGAUCGUUGUACAAAGUAGGACUAUGACAAGGAUGUAUAUUAACACAAGUGCGCUGUGGCUGCCAAAGGUCAGUAGUUCUGUUAUGGAGUCCCUGUGCCUAGGGGUGCUUCUUCAGAUUGGUUGCAUAAGGGCAGAUUUCUUAUGGAGUGGAGCUUCUCACAAUGGACAGCUACAAUUUUUUGUCCUGGAAUCAGAGCAUUAAUUUCGUAGAGUUUCGUAGAUCUUCAACUCACGCAAAUCAAGAAUCUGACCAAAUGGUGCCUUUAGGGUUUCUAAUAACGGACGGUUGACGAAAUAUUUGUUCAAACAUUCUUUUUGAAGAGGAAGCUUGUGGAUUGAUGGCCUUCCUUCCAUCAUUUGGUGGUUAGGGUUAUUUUAGUUAAAAGCGUAGGGAGGUACCAAUGGUAUGUUUUAUCUACUGUAUGAUUCUUUUCUGUUUGUCUAAUACAUCAUUUUAUAAAAGGGGAGUAUUGCAUUCAAUUGCAAGCCCCUUUUUACUACUAUUUUCCUUCCAUGUACUUACUAUCCUUGUGUUGAUUCUGUUGGAUAUGAAUCAAUGUGUUUCUUCCCUCA
Molecule: non-coding RNA, 1435 nt
Organism: Camellia sinensis
Lineage: Eukaryota; Viridiplantae; Streptophyta; Magnoliopsida; Ericales; Theaceae
Source: RefSeq, a predicted model, not a curated record